This 291-nucleotide long non-coding RNA is filed under the name Daucus carota (carrot). RNAcentral describes it as "long non-coding RNA (DCAR_LNC002148)". Lineage: Eukaryota; Viridiplantae; Streptophyta; Magnoliopsida; Apiales; Apiaceae. The record is from RNAcentral.
AGAAUAUUCCCCGACUUGCUGGAGUUAUUUAUUUACGAUUGAUUUAACAUGGACUGAAACAGAUUAUCCGCAAUUAAAUUAAAUCGAAGAAAUUGGUACGACGUAUUCAACCCCCCCCUUCUACGUCUGAUUGGACCUAACAAUUGGUAUCAGAGCUUAGCUGAUCGAUAUACAGAUCUGAGAUCCGUAACCAAUCUGAAAAGCUAGCUGUCCGUACAAUCGUAAUUUUAUCUGAUAACAAUGUCGACACACAAGUUAGGAAUCAAAGUACCUCCAUUUGACAAGGAUGAC